UGGUGAGAGGUGAGACCUCUCCAGGGACUGAGACAUUGGUGGCAGCCAUUAUUGUGACCUAGUACAGGUGUGCUGACUCAGACAGUGACAGAUGCCAUUGGAAGUCUUCCCCUGGCCUGUUAGCCAAGGGUCUGCCCCAUCUGCUAGACCACCAAUUUAAUUCAGCUCAGCCAAGGCAGGCAGCCCUCCCAAGGGACUGGCCCCACCAAACAGAAAGCCACUGAGCAACUCUUUGGCCUGCAUAGACUGGGUGACUGGAUCCUCUGCAGGCAGUAACCAAAACUAGUAUGACAGAAUGUUCUGAUAAUGAACCCUCCAUCAGUCUCCAUCACCGUUAUCACAUGCAGGCCAAUCACAGAGGGCCAAGAAGGGAGCAGCAAAACGCCUCUGGAUCUGAGCAUCUGAGUGAGAUGACAGGGAAGGAAAGGAAGACAACUGGAAGAAACUUGCCCUGGACCCUGUGACCUCUGCAGAUCCAGGCACCGCGGUGUCCAGUGACUUCCUCUAACACCAUAGCAAAUGUUCAGUGUGAACUUUGCACCAGGCUUUUUUAAAAAAGCUCCACACGAGUCAUUGUAUUUAAUCUUCACAGCCUUCUGAAGUCGGUGUUAUUUAUCACGCACUUUAUAAAUGGAAAAUAACCCAAAACCUGAGACUUUAAAAAGAGGAAGUGACUUGCUCAAGGUCACACAACUAAUAAGUUGGUGAGUCGGGACUGGAGUCUGGGUGUAGGUUUAAAGCCAGUUCUGAGUCUCUCCUUUCCCGGAAGUAGGUUUAACCUCAGAGGCAGCCUCGGGGAGCAGUCACGGUGACCUGGUUCUCAGGCCAUUGUUUGCCAUUUCUUUUACAGAUGAAAAUUGAGUACACUUAAUUGCAUUUAAUUUUAGAAUUACACAUAGAUAUUUCAAACUUCAAUAUUUAUAAAACUAAUAUAUUGGCAGAAUCAAUUUUAAUCAAAAGGCGAAAAAUGGAAGCAUCUUUUGAUAAGAAGGAUGCAACUUUUGAUAAGGCAAAGAGCAAAAAAGCACUGGCGCUCCUAAAGGUGUUUCUGAGGGCCUGCCGGAUGGGGUGCAGGCAGGGUGAUGCCUAGGUUGAAAGGGAGAGAAACAAACAUGUCUUGGCCAAACUUUGGUCCUUGGGACUUUCAUCUUUGUGUGGAUCACUGCGUAGACCUCUGUGUACAAACCUUGAAAGAAACCGGGUUUCCCUCUC
Long non-coding RNA from Equus caballus (horse), 1212 nucleotides. RefSeq lists it as uncharacterized. The record is from RefSeq and is a predicted model, not a curated record. Lineage: Eukaryota; Metazoa; Chordata; Mammalia; Perissodactyla; Equidae.